AUUGCCGUAGUAGCGGCGAGCGAAAUGGGAGCACCCUAAACCGUGAAAACGGGGUUGUGGGAGAGCAAUUCAAGCGUCGUGCUACUAGGUGAACCAGCCUGAAUGCUGCACCCUAGAUGGUGAAAGUCCAGUAACCGAAAGCAUCACUAGCUUACGCUCUGGCCCGAGUAGCAUGGGGCACGUGGAAUCCCGUGUGAAUCAGCAAGGACCACCUUGUAAAUA
This 222-nucleotide non-coding RNA is filed under the name Ipomoea nil (Japanese morning glory). Its description in RNAcentral is "Bacterial large subunit ribosomal RNA". It matches the Rfam family "Bacterial large subunit ribosomal RNA", at positions 234 to 468 of the family's 2925-position model. The record is from Rfam by way of RNAcentral. Lineage: Eukaryota; Viridiplantae; Streptophyta; Magnoliopsida; Solanales; Convolvulaceae.